Molecule: ribosomal RNA, 429 nt
Filed under: Gemmatimonadota bacterium
Lineage: Bacteria; Pseudomonadati; Gemmatimonadota
Description: Gemmatimonadetes bacterium partial 16S ribosomal RNA
Rfam family: Bacterial small subunit ribosomal RNA
Source: RNAcentral
UAGGGAAUCUUCGGCAAUGGACGAAAGUCUGACCGAGCAACGCCGCGUGAGUGAAGAAGGUUUUCGGAUCGUAAAACUCUGUUGUUAGAGAAGAACAAGGACGUUAGUAACUGAACGUCCCCUGACGGUAUCUAACCAGAAAGCCACGGCUAACUACGUGCCAGCAGCCGCGGUAAUACGUAGGUGGCAAGCGUUGUCCGGAUUUAUUGGGCGUAAAGCGAGCGCAGGCGGUUUCUUAAGUCUGAUGUGAAAGCCCCCGGCUCAACCGGGGAGGGGCAUUGGAAACUGGGGGACUUGAGUGCAGAAGAGGGGAGGGGAAUUCCAUGUGUAGCGGUGAAAUGCGUAGAUAUAUGGAGGAACACCAGUGGCGAGGGCGGCUCUCUGGUCUGUAACUGACGCUAAGGCUCGAAAGCGUGGGGAGCAAACAGG